RNAcentral lists this ribosomal RNA (253 nucleotides) under uncultured bacterium. RNAcentral's name for it is "partial 16S ribosomal RNA". It matches the Rfam family "Bacterial small subunit ribosomal RNA", at positions 524 to 776 of the family's 1533-position model. The record is from RNAcentral.
UACGUAGGGAGCAAGCGUUGUCCGGAAUCAUUGGGCGUAAAGCGCGCGUAGGCGGCCCGGUAAGUCCGUUGUGAAAGUCAAAGGCUCAACCUUUGAAUGCCGAUGGAUACUGCCGGGCUCGAGUCCGGAAGAGGCGAGUGGAAUUCCUGGUGUAGCGGUGGAAUGCGCAGAUAUCAGGAAGAACACCCGUGGCGAAGGCGGCUCUCUGGGACGGUACUGACGCUGAGACGCGAAAGCGUGGGGAGCGAACAGG